This 468-nucleotide ribosomal RNA is filed under the name uncultured bacterium. RNAcentral describes it as "partial 16S ribosomal RNA". It matches the Rfam family "Bacterial small subunit ribosomal RNA", at positions 28 to 507 of the family's 1533-position model. The record is from RNAcentral.
GACGAACGCUGGCGCCGUGCUUAACACAUGCAAGUCGAACGGAAAGGCCCUGCUUUUGUGGGGUGCUCGAGUGGCGAACGGGUGAGUAACACGUGAGUAACCUGCCCUUGACUUUGGGAUAACUUCAGGAAACUGGGGCUAAUACCGGAUUGGAGCUCCUGCUGCAUGGUGGGGGUUGGAAAGUUUCGGCGGUUGGGGAUGGACUCGCGGCUUAUCAGCUUGUUGGUGGGGUAGUGGCUUACCAAGGCUUUGACGGGUAGCCGGCCUGAGAGGGUGACCGGCCACAUUGGGACUGAGAUACGGCCCAGACUCCUACGGGAGGCAGCAGUGGGGAAUAUUGCACAAUGGGCGGAAGCCUGAUGCAGCAACGCCGCGUGCGGGAUGACGGCCUUCGGGUUGUAAACCGCUUUCGCCUGUGACGAAGCGUGAGUGACGGUAAUGGGUAAAGAAGCACCGGCUAACUACGUG